UAAGCGGAGGAAAAGAAACUAACAAGGAUUCCCUUAGUAACGGCGAGUGAACCGGGAAAAGCUCAAAUUUGUAAUCUGGCUGUCUUCGAUAGUCCGAGUUGUAAUCUAUAGACGUGUUUUCCGUGCUGGACCGUAUCUAAGUCCCUUGGAACAGGGUAUCAAAGAGGGUGACAAUCCCGUGCUUGAUACGACCACCAGUGCUCUGUGAUACACGCUCUACGAGUCGAGUUGUUUGGGAAUGCAGCUCAAAAUGGGUGGUAAAUUCCAUCUAAAGCUAAAUAUUGGCGAGAGACCGAUAGCGAACAAGUACCGUGAGGGAAAGAUGAAAAGCACUUUGGAAAGAGAGUUAAACAGUACGUGAAAUUGUUGAAAGGGAAACGAUUGAAGUCAGUCGUGUUCUUUGGAUUCAGCUAGUUCUUCUAGUCUACUUCCUUUGAACGGGUCAACAUCAGUUUUGUCCGGUGGAUAAAGAUAGUAGGAAUGUAGCUCCCUCGGGAGUGUUAUAGACUAUUAUUGCAUGCACUGGGUGAGACUGAGGACUGCAGCUCGCCUUUUGGCCGGCCUUCGGGUACGUUCGAGCUUAGGAUGUUGACAUAAUGGCUUUAAACGACCCGUCUUGAAACACG
RNAcentral lists this ribosomal RNA (626 nucleotides) under Cutaneotrichosporon moniliiforme. RNAcentral describes it as "eukaryotic LSU rRNA". It matches the Rfam family "Eukaryotic large subunit ribosomal RNA", at positions 47 to 663 of the family's 3401-position model. Lineage: Eukaryota; Fungi; Basidiomycota; Tremellomycetes; Trichosporonales; Trichosporonaceae. The record is from RNAcentral.